GUCUGGUUAAUUCCGAUAACGAACGAGACUCUAGCCUGCUAAAUAGUUCGCCGAUCCUCGGUUAGUCGGCGCGGAACUUCUUAGAGGGACAAGUGGCUUUCAGCCACGCGAGAUUGAGCAAUAACAGGUCUGUGAUGCCCUUAGAUGUUCGGGGCCGCACGCGCGCUACACUGAAAGAAUCAGCGUGUGUCCUGUCCUGGUCCGAAAGGAUCGGGUAAUCCGCUGAACCUCUUUCGUGGUAGGGAUUGGGGCUUGCAAUUGUUCCCCAUGAACCAGGAAUUCCCAGUAAGCGCAGGUCAUAAGCCUGCG
This 309-nucleotide ribosomal RNA is filed under the name Orbiniidae sp. RG-2014. RNAcentral's name for it is "SSU rRNA". It matches the Rfam family "Eukaryotic small subunit ribosomal RNA", at positions 1313 to 1640 of the family's 1831-position model. Lineage: Eukaryota; Metazoa; Annelida; Polychaeta; Orbiniidae. The record is from RNAcentral.